RNAcentral lists this ribosomal RNA (253 nucleotides) under uncultured bacterium. RNAcentral's name for it is "partial 16S ribosomal RNA". It matches the Rfam family "Bacterial small subunit ribosomal RNA", at positions 524 to 776 of the family's 1533-position model. The record is from RNAcentral.
UACGAAGGGGGCUAGCGUUGCUCGGAAUGACUGGGCGUAAAGGGCGCGUAGGCGGCUUGCACCGUCAGAUGUGAAAUUCCUGGGCUUAACCUGGGGGCUGCAUUUGAUACGUGUGGGCUUGAGUGCGGAAGAGGGUCGUGGAAUUCCCAGUGUAGAGGUGAAAUUCGUAGAUAUUGGGAAGAACACCGGUGGCGAAGGCGGCGACCUGGUCCGUGACUGACGCUGAGGUGCGAAAGCGUGGGGAGCAAACAGG